This 450-nucleotide ribosomal RNA is filed under the name uncultured bacterium. RNAcentral describes it as "bacterial SSU rRNA". It matches the Rfam family "Bacterial small subunit ribosomal RNA", at positions 354 to 796 of the family's 1533-position model. The record is from RNAcentral.
GUGGGGAAUAUUGGACAAUGGGCGAAAGCCUGAUCCAGCCAUGCCGCGUGUGUGAAGAAGGUCUUCGGAUUGUAAAGCACUUUAAGUUGGGAGGAAGGGCAGUAAGUUAAUACCUUGCUGUUUUGACGUUACCAACAGAAUAAGCACCGGCUAACUUCGUGCCAGCAGCCGCGGUAAUACGAAGGGUGCAAGCGUUAAUCGGAAUUACUGGGCGUAAAGCGCGCGUAGGUGGUUCAGCAAGUUGGAGGUGAAAUCCCCGGGCUCAACCUGGGAACUGCCUCCAAAACUACUGAGCUAGAGUACGGUAGAGGGUAGUGGAAUUUCCUGUGUAGCGGUGAAAUGCGUAGAUAUAGGAAGGAACACCAGUGGCGAAGGCGACUACCUGGACUGAUACUGACACUGAGGUACGAAAGCGUGGGGAGCAAACAGGAUUAGAUACCCGAGUAGUCC